RNAcentral lists this long non-coding RNA (3604 nucleotides) under Triticum aestivum (bread wheat). RNAcentral describes it as "long non-coding RNA (TAES_LNC021689)". The record is from RNAcentral. Lineage: Eukaryota; Viridiplantae; Streptophyta; Magnoliopsida; Poales; Poaceae.
GGCGACCCGGGAAUAAGCAGACCCGGAGGAGCGAAGCGGCCGUCUUGUAGGUCAAAUCGAAACCACCACACAAGCACUUGACAAAGCAGCAUCACAAGCUGCCAGAAUGCAACAUCACAAGCACUUUAGUUACAGUCAAGACCGUCGAAAAAAGGGAACGUCAGACCAUAGUAAGGUUGCUGCGAUGGUGAUUCGAUAAAACAUCACAUACUUUUCUGUACACAGGGCUCCUCUUUUCGUCCUUGAGGGAGUUCCUCUCCUCGACCAAAUCCAUCAUCUCCUCUUUCAAAAUAUUGUUAUCAGCGGGAUGGAGUGCUCCUUCCCCGAGGCGGGCAUCUGGAACGGCGGUUCAUAACAUGUCCUCGAUGUCCUGCACUCCACAUUGGUCAUCAUUGAGGGUGUCUGUUGGGGAAACAUCAAUGUCAAAGCAGAGAAAUGGAGUCACACCAAGGGACAUGGCAACAUUUAAGAAAUGGAAAUACAUAACAAGUACUCCCUCUGUAAAGAUAUAUAAGAGCGUUUACAUCACCGCUUUAGUGAUCUAGACGCACUUAUAUUUUUUUACAGAGGGAGUAUAUGUGAUAGUGUUACCAGUGCAAGAGAGAGAAAUUGCAAUCUUACACAAUUUGAAUAUCAUGUUUAUCUUACUAUUACAAGUGUGUGUUUAUUAUAAACGACAUGGCAGGCAGCUCAGGUCUGCACCUGUCAUCAUUUUGCCCAUACAUAUACAUACAUACAACAAGAGAGGCAAAACUUAGCAGAUUGGAAGGCUUGUUGUACAGGGGCAUGAUCACAAACGAAAUAGUAGAGUAGUAUUUCAGGAUGGUGCUAUAUAUUCUGUAGCAAACAAAGUUGUAUGCUCCAUACAAAGUGAUGUAAUAAUACCAGACAUAAUUGCCAUAGAAAGGCUAGCAUGUGGGAAUCGCUACAAGAGCUCAUGUUGUCUUGUCAAAUCUCAUACUAGGCACACAAACACAAAUUGUUGCACUAGUGAAAAACAAGCAGCAUCUAUGGGUACGUAAUUGAUGGCCGGGACACACACGGCAUAAGAGAUACCUUAAGGAGCUCCAUGGUGUGGACGCCCAUGAAAGAGGCGGCACACAACAGUCUGCGCCUGAGGAGGCCAACAUUGUCAAGUUAGUAUGCUUGGUUAGCAUCAUCAACCUGAAGAUAAAUCUGCUGCAGAGUUUUCAGUUUCCUGAAGAAGGAAGGAACUAAAAGUUUCAGAUUUCUGUAGUUUUGUCUGUCUGUGAAGAUAAGUUGCAGCAAGCAAGCAAGCAAGCAAAAUAUGGAGUAUCAAGUUUCCUAGUGCUCCCUCAAAUUGUAAGAUUUGCUAUGCAUGCUCGUGUCAGUAUUUUAUUUUAGUUUUUGAAGGAAUUUGCUCAUGUGAAGAUUUCGGUAUGAGAUACAUGGAGCUUUUUCAGAGUUGUUUUUUUCUAACUGUAAUACAUGUGAAGACUUGGGUAUGAAAAAUGGAGCUUUUUCCAUAGUGAAAAGUGAUCUUUUUGGUGUCGUUUUGUUGUUGCUCUAAUCGGCUUGUAUCUCAUACUGAAAGACUUUGGUAAUUGAUGGUCGGUACAUGAGAGAGAGCAGAAUGAGUUACGUUGACGGUCUCCAUGGCGUCCGCAGCGGCAGCGGGGUCUCGGAACAGCAACAGUACCAAGUUAGUAUCAACCUGAAGAAUAAUCUGCAGAGUUGUCAAUUUUUCUGAAGAAGGAAGUAAAAGUAUGAGAUUUUUGCAGUUCUGUCUAGCUCCGUCCGAAUACAAGUUGCAGCAGCAAGCAAACACGGAUAGAUGGGCGUUGACAAACUCACCGUGAUUAUUUUGCAGCCAGUGCCGAACAACGUCGUGCCUCGUUGCUCGAAGGGAGACACACACGAUGAGCCCCUUGUCCUCUGCAUUACCCGGGGAUGAUGCAGUACCGAAUCAAUCAUGCUGCUGCACAAGGACAUGAUAAAUAACAAAUCUUGAGUCAAAUGGAAAAUCUUGAGCUCCAAUCAUAAUGAGAGAAAAGAGGAAAUCAUGCCUCUUCAUCAGCGGAGAGAGCCUGAGGACAACGACGCCAUCCAGUGCAUCUUCAUCAGCGAAGAAAGCACGAGGACGACGACGCCAUCCUAUGCAACUUCAAGCCCAAACCGCGUCAACUUCUGCAGCACCGCUUGGCAAGAGAAAAUGACCGGUGUCGUGCGCGAUGGAGAUUUUCCAUCAUGUCCGGUAGGUUUGACGGACGAACGGAGUAUCUUCCUGAGGAAUGCAAUCUAGGUGGACAUAAAAAGAUCAGUCUAGUGCAGAGGCAAAGAGGAAUGUCAGAUUUCUCAACACUAAGCCACACAACAAUUCUCUUGUGUCAAAGGGAAUUUACAGGAAUUAACAAGACAACAUCUUCCCCUAAAAACAAUGCAUACUUAUUCACCAGCCUAGCAAUGCAAAGUGCUCGUUCCAGUUCCACACAAUGAAAGUUAAGUGUUGGACCUGAUCAAGACAAGACAAAAUUGCCAUAGUUAGGCUCACUUGUGUGACCAGCAGAAGAAUUUUUGCUACAAGAUCUCAUCUUGGCUUGUCAAAUAUCAUACUAGAAAAAUUGUUGCACACUAGUGAAAACAAGCAACAUCUCUGGGUAAUUGACGACCGGGACACGCAGGACAUGAGAUAGAGAGAGAGAACAAAGAGAGAUACCUUGACGGUCGGCAGCGGGGUCGGAGCAGCUGCUGCGUCCAUGGAAGAGGCGGCACACAGUGGUCUAUGCUUGAGGACACCAACAUUAUCAAGUUAGUAUGUGUCGUUAGUAUCAACUUGAAGAUAAAUCUGCUGCAGAAUUUUCAGUUUUCUGAAGAAACAAGGAACUAAAAGUUUCAGGUUUUUGCAGUUUAGUCGUCUCUGAACAUAAAUUGCAGCAAGCAAGCAAGCAAAUAUGGAUGGGCAUGAGAGGGAGUAAGGGCCACUGAUGAUGAAUGCUGAACUAGUAUGAGCAGAGCCUGCACUCACCACCCACAUAGAAGGCAAUGACAGAAUCCCUUCCCCUGGCACGAGCUUCGGAUCAGUGGUGGCACUUGUUCUUGCCUAAUGAGGAUCCUCCAUGGACAAGGGAAGGUGUCAUCAGACCACCAUAGUCCAAUUAGUGCUAUACGGCCUGCACAAGGAUCACACGAGACAUGCAUGGUGAAUGCUACAGAAAAACAAGACAAGCGUUUGCUCCAUCGUGGGAGCAGCGGUGACCCGGGAAUAAGCAGACCCGGAGGAGCGAAGCGGCGGUCUUCUAGGUCAAAUCGAAACCACCACACAAGCACUUGACAAAGCAGCAUCACAAGCUGCCAGAAUGCAACAUCACAAGCACUUGAGUAUAGUCAAGACCAUCGACAAAAGGGAACGUCGGUCCAUAGUAAGGUUGCUGCGAUGGUGAUUCGAUAAAACAUCACAUACUUUUCUGUACACAGGGCUCCUCUUUUCGUCCUUGAGGGAGUUCCUCUCCUCCACCAAAUCCGUCAUCUCCUCUUUCAAAACAUUGUUAUCAGCGGGAUGGAGUGCUCCUUCCCCGAGGCGGGCGUCUGGAACGGCGGUUCAUAUCAUGUCCUCGAUGUCCUGCACUCCACCUUGGUCAUCAUU